CCUACGGGUGGCUGCAGUGAGGAAUAUUGGUCAAUGGGCGCGAGCCUGAACCAGCCAAGUAGCGUGAAGGAUGACUGCCCUACGGGUUGUAAACUUCUGUUAUAAAGGAAUAAAGUGAGGCACGUGUGCCUUUUUGUAUGUACUUUAUGAAUAAGGUUCGGCUAACUCCGUUCCAGCAGCCGCGGUAAUACGGAGGAUCCGAGUGUUAUCCGGAUUUAUUGGGUUUAAAGGGAGCGUAGAUGGGUUGUUAAGUCGGUUGUGAAAGUUUGCGGCUCAACCGUAAAAUUGCAAUUGAUACUGGCAGUCUUGAGUACAGUUGAGGUAGGCGGAAUUCGUGGUGUAGCAGUGAAAUGCUUAGAUAUCACGAAGAACUCCGAUUGCGAAGGCAGCUUCCUAAACUGCAACUGACAUUGAUGCUCGAAAGUGAGGGUAUCAAACAGGAUUAGAUACCCCUGUAGUC
RNAcentral lists this ribosomal RNA (460 nucleotides) under uncultured bacterium. RNAcentral describes it as "partial 16S ribosomal RNA". It matches the Rfam family "Bacterial small subunit ribosomal RNA", at positions 338 to 795 of the family's 1533-position model. The record is from RNAcentral.